GGCAAGGUGGCCGAGUGGUCUAAGGCGGAUGACUCAAGCGUCAAAGCUUCCCUGAACAAGGGGUUUCAUCUCUCGCAAGAGGCGUGGGUUCGAAUCCCACCCUUGUCA
This 108-nucleotide transfer RNA is filed under the name Paecilomyces variotii No. 5. RNAcentral's name for it is "Byssochlamys spectabilis No. 5 tRNA". It matches the Rfam family "tRNA". From Rfam's summary of the family: Transfer RNA (tRNA) molecules are approximately 80 nucleotides in length. Their secondary structure includes four short double-helical elements and three loops (D, anti-codon, and T loops). RNAcentral also lists the same sequence under 1 other name. Lineage: Eukaryota; Fungi; Ascomycota; Eurotiomycetes; Eurotiales; Thermoascaceae. The record is from Rfam by way of RNAcentral.